GGGCCCAUAGCUCAGUUGGUUAGAGCAACGGACUCAUAAUCCGUUGGCCGGGGGUUCAAGUCCCUCUGGGCCCA
This 74-nucleotide transfer RNA is filed under the name Ignavibacteriota bacterium. RNAcentral describes it as "Ignavibacteriae bacterium (activated sludge metagenome) tRNA-Ile". It matches the Rfam family "tRNA". From Rfam's summary of the family: Transfer RNA (tRNA) molecules are approximately 80 nucleotides in length. Lineage: Bacteria; Pseudomonadati; Ignavibacteriota. The record is from RNAcentral. RNAcentral also lists the same sequence under 2 other names.